This 748-nucleotide ribosomal RNA is filed under the name Neisseria sp. C144. RNAcentral describes it as "bacterial SSU rRNA". It matches the Rfam family "Bacterial small subunit ribosomal RNA", at positions 110 to 854 of the family's 1533-position model. Lineage: Bacteria; Pseudomonadati; Pseudomonadota; Betaproteobacteria; Neisseriales; Neisseriaceae. The record is from RNAcentral.
GUAAUAUAUCGGAACGUACCGAGUAAUGGGGGAUAACUAAUCGAAAGAUUAGCUAAUACCGCAUAUUCUCUGAGGAGGAAAGCAGGGGACCUUCGGGCCUUGCGUUAUUCGAGCGGCCGAUAUCUGAUUAGCUAGUUGGUGGGGUAAAGGCCUACCAAGGCGACGAUCAGUAGCGGGUCUGAGAGGAUGAUCCGCCACACUGGGACUGAGACACGGCCCAGACUCCUACGGGAGGCAGCAGUGGGGAAUUUUGGACAAUGGGCGCAAGCCUGAUCCAGCCAUGCCGCGUGUCUGAAGAAGGCCUUCGGGUUGUAAAGGACUUUUGUCAGGGAAGAAAAGGCUGUUGCUAAUAUCGACAGCUGAUGACGGUACCUGAAGAAUAAGCACCGGCUAACUACGUGCCAGCAGCCGCGGUAAUACGUAGGGUGCGAGCGUUAAUCGGAAUUACUGGGCGUAAAGCGAGCGCAGACGGUUACUUAAGCAGGAUGUGAAAUCCCCGGGCUCAACCUGGGAACUGCGUUCUGAACUGGGUGACUAGAGUGUGUCAGAGGGAGGUAGAAUUCCACGUGUAGCAGUGAAAUGCGUAGAGAUGUGGAGGAAUACCGAUGGCGAAGGCAGCCUCCUGGGAUAACACUGACGUUCAUGCUCGAAAGCGUGGGUAGCAAACAGGAUUAGAUACCCUGGUAGUCCACGCCCUAAACGAUGUCAAUUAGCUGUUGGGCAACUUGAUUGCUUAGUAGCGUAGCUA